UAAGUAGGGUGCGAGCGUUAAUCGGAAUUACUGGGCGUAAAGCGUGCGCAGGCGGCUUUGCAAGACAGAUGUGAAAUCCCCGGGCUCAACCUGGGAACUGCAUUUGUGACUGCAAGGCUAGAGUACGGCAGAGGGGGAUGGAAUUCCGCGUGUAGCAGUGAAAUGCGUAGAUAUGCGGAGGAACACCAAUGGCGAAGGCAAUCCCCUGGGCCUGUACGGAAGCGCAUGCAAGAAAGCGGGGGGAGCACACAGGCUGCGAUAACACUGUAGUCC
This 273-nucleotide ribosomal RNA is filed under the name uncultured bacterium. Its description in RNAcentral is "partial 16S ribosomal RNA". It matches the Rfam family "Bacterial small subunit ribosomal RNA", at positions 524 to 796 of the family's 1533-position model. The record is from RNAcentral.